CCUCCUUACGGGGAGGAGCAGCAGUGGGGAAUAUUGCACAAUGGGCGCAAGCCUGAUGCAGCGACGCCGCGUGGGGGAUGACGGCCUUCGGGUUGUAAACUCCUUUCAGCCAUGACGAAGCCUUUGUGGUGACGGUAGUGGUAGAAGAAGCACCGGCUAACUACGUGCCAGCAGCCGCGGUAAUACGUAGGGUGCGAGCGUUGUCCGGAAUUACUGGGCGUAAAGAGCUCGUAGGUGGUCUGUCGCGUCAUUUGUGAAAGCCCGGGGCUUAACUCCGGGUUGGCAGGUGAUACGGGCAUGACUGGAGUACUGUAGGGGAGACUGGAAUUCCUGGUGUAGCGGUGAAAUGCGCAGAUAUCAGGAGGAACACCGGUGGCGAAGGCGGGUCUCUGGGCAGUAACUGACGCUGAGGAGCGAAAGCAUGGGUAGCGAACAGGAUUAGAUACCCUGGUAGUCCAUGCCGUAAACGGUGGGCGCUAGGUGUGGGUUUCCUUCCACGGGAUCCGUGCCGUAGCUAACGCAUUAAGCGCCCCGCCUGGGAGUUCCCCAA
This 550-nucleotide ribosomal RNA is filed under the name Corynebacterium kroppenstedtii. RNAcentral's name for it is "bacterial SSU rRNA". It matches the Rfam family "Bacterial small subunit ribosomal RNA", at positions 334 to 891 of the family's 1533-position model. The record is from RNAcentral. Lineage: Bacteria; Bacillati; Actinomycetota; Actinomycetes; Mycobacteriales; Corynebacteriaceae.